UUACUCUGUUUUCCUAUAAAUCUUUCGUCUUUUACUAAAGAUUUCCGUGAAGAAGAGCAGUUAACGCGUUUAUGAGACGGUAAUAUUCAUUUACGU
This is a small nuclear RNA of Frieseomelitta varia, 96 nucleotides long. RefSeq annotates it as U5 spliceosomal RNA. The transcript has a single exon. The record is from RefSeq and is a predicted model, not a curated record. Lineage: Eukaryota; Metazoa; Arthropoda; Insecta; Hymenoptera; Apidae.